GGGGUCACUAUUGUGGAGGGAGCAGGGACUUUAGUCCCUUAUAAGGCUUCAAAACCCUCCAGACCAUUGCAAGGCACCUUUUGGCCCACGAAAUGUGGCCCCGAGGGACAAAGCCGUACGGAGAUCCCAUGAGGACGCCCAAAGCGGACAAUAUCUCGCAGGCAGGUGGGGCCGCCUUACACCUAUGUAGCUACGGGCGCGUUCCAGUAGCCGAUUUGACCUUAUGAGCCUGGCU
RNAcentral lists this long non-coding RNA (235 nucleotides) under Elaeis guineensis (African oil palm). RNAcentral's name for it is "long non-coding RNA (EGUI_LNC026538)". Lineage: Eukaryota; Viridiplantae; Streptophyta; Magnoliopsida; Arecales; Arecaceae. The record is from RNAcentral.